GACGAACGCUAGCGGCGUGCUUAACACAUGCAAGUCGAACGGAAAGGCCCUGCUUUUGUGGGGUGCUCGAGUGGCGAACGGGUGAGUAACACGUGAGUAACCUGCCCUUGACUUUGGGAUAACUUCAGGAAACUGGGGCUAAUACCGGAUAGGAGCUCCUGCUGCAUGGUGGGGGUUGGAAAGUUUCGGCGGUUGGGGAUGGACUCGCGGCUUAUCAGCUUGUUGGGGGGGUAGUGGCUUACCAAGGCUUUGACGGGUAGCCGGCCUGAGAGGGUGACCGGCCACAUUGGGACUGAGAUACGGCCCAGACUCCUACGGGAGGCAGCAGUGGGGAAUAUUGCACAAUGGGCGGAAGCCUGAUGCAGCAACGCCGCGUGCGGGAUGACGGCCUUCGGGUUGUAAACCGCUUUCGCCUGUGACGAAGCGUGAGUGACGGUAAUGGGUAAAGAAGCACCGGCUAACUACGUG
RNAcentral lists this ribosomal RNA (468 nucleotides) under uncultured bacterium. Its description in RNAcentral is "partial 16S ribosomal RNA". It matches the Rfam family "Bacterial small subunit ribosomal RNA", at positions 28 to 507 of the family's 1533-position model. The record is from RNAcentral.